GAGGGUAUAGCUCAGUGGUAGAGUGUGUGCUUAGUAUGUAUGAGGUCCUGGGUUCAAUCCCCAGUACCGCCA
This is a transfer RNA of Camelus ferus (Wild Bactrian camel), 72 nucleotides long. It matches the Rfam family "tRNA". From Rfam's summary of the family: Transfer RNA (tRNA) molecules are approximately 80 nucleotides in length. Their secondary structure includes four short double-helical elements and three loops (D, anti-codon, and T loops). Further hydrogen bonds mediate the characteristic L-shaped molecular structure. tRNAs have two regions of fundamental functional importance: the anti-codon, which is responsible for specific mRNA codon recognition, and the 3' end, to which the tRNAs corresponding amino acid is attached (by aminoacyl-tRNA synthetases). tRNAs cope with the degeneracy of the genetic code in two manners: having more than one tRNA (with a specific anti-codon) for a particular amino acid; and 'wobble' base-pairing, i.e. permitting non-standard base-pairing at the 3rd anti-codon position. The record is from Rfam. Lineage: Eukaryota; Metazoa; Chordata; Mammalia; Artiodactyla; Camelidae.